CAGUAGCCACGGUAAUACGAAGGGUGCAAGCGUUACUCGGAAUUACUGGGCGUAAAGCGUGCGUAGGUGGUGGUUUAAGUCCGUUGUGAAAGCCCUGGGCUCAACCUGGGAAUUGCAGUGGAUACUGGGUCACUAGAGUGUGGUAGAGGAUAGUGGAAUUUCCGGUGUAGCAGUGAAAUGCGUAGAGAUCGGAAGGAACAUCUGUGGCGAAGGCGACUAUCUGGGCCAACACUGACACUGAGGCACGAAGCGUGGGGAGCAAACAGGAUUAGAUACCCGUGUAGUCCCUGUCUCUUAUACA
RNAcentral lists this ribosomal RNA (301 nucleotides) under uncultured bacterium. RNAcentral describes it as "partial 16S ribosomal RNA". It matches the Rfam family "Bacterial small subunit ribosomal RNA", at positions 509 to 808 of the family's 1533-position model. The record is from RNAcentral.